UCGUGGGGAGUUGUGUCCUACGACAGCUGCAGAGGGUUGGGGAGAUGCAUGUGGAGAGGGAUUGGAGAUAACCGCACCCCCGAUCCAGACCCACUCCUCAUGCGGUGCCUCCUCCUCCUUCUCACAGGCGCUGCACCAUUCCUCCCUUCUGCCCCCUCCUCCUUCCCGGAUCCCCGCCACGGUGCUGCCUUGCAGGCAAAGGACGACAGUGGUGGUGCGUAGGAGAGAGAAAAUGAGAGGGAGAGAGAGAAGGAGAAGAGGGAUAAAGAGAGGAAGAGAAGAGGAGGCAAGGCAUCGGAUGUGAGAGAGCAGGGGAGGGCCAAGAGGCCAGCGGUGUGGGCUGGAGCAGAGAGGCCGGAGACCCGGGCGGCGGACGCCUCACGGGGUGGCGGAGAGGCUAGCGAUAGGGAAGGAGCAACAUCAUCAUGGAUCUAUAGGGAAGGUGAGGUUCUGACGGCUAAAGAUGGUGCACAGCCGGUGGCACGUCCUCCCCGCUCUCGCUCGCUCGCAUAGUCUUGGGGAUCGCGGGCUCGGCGAACCUCUGGCCAUGCCGCCGCGAGUAUGUCCGCCUCUGGUGUGAUCCCGACUCCAUGCGCGGCCACGUCUGGCUCGACGCUAGCGUGCUCGGAACGCUGGGGCCCAGCGCUGCCGGGGAGGACUAGCUCCCGCCGAACCGGGUGUCCGAGGACACCUUACGCUGAAUGUACACCAACCCGACGGGCCACCCUUCUGGGCUCCGGAUCACACGCAUCGCUGCCGAGGCCGUACGGCUUGUGGGAGGCGGGGGUGCGCGGUUGGUUGUUCUCGUGGACGACGACACUGUGCUGUCCCCGGACAACCUCAUGGCGUGCUCGGGAAGUAUGACUAGAGGGAGAUGGUGUACGUCGGGGCCUUGUCGGAGAGCCACUCGGCCAGCACCUAUUUCAGCCACGGCAAGGCGUUCGGAGGCGGAGACUGAGCGCUCAGCUCCACCAUCGGCACUGUGCUCACGUGGACACUCGACGUGUGCAUCGAGAGGUACCCCAGGCUGUAUGGAAGCAAUGACCGCCUCCAUGCUUGCAUCACCGAGCUUAGCGUACCACUUCCGUGCGAAUAUGGAUUCCAUCAGGUAUGUUUGGGUGUUCAUAUUUUUGAUAGCCAAAUACGAAUAGGUGCACUUGACUAUUUGAGGAAAUGCCAACUGAAAGCGAAAUUCAGUUAGAACUAGCCUUUUGCAUGUGUGUUCUUGAUGCUUCAUGUACGACCACAUAGUAGGGACGCAAUAAAUAUUUCUUAGCUAGGUUGCUUGCCUAAUGAAGCUCCCACGUGGACCAUUUACUCCUCUGUGUUAUUGGAAUUUGUUUGCGGUGUUUGCUCAGGCUGAAGAAAUUCAUGUCGUUUUCCUCCAUUUAUUUUCUUUCAUGCGUAAGUACUACCUUUGGCAAUUACCCUUUCCAGCCUAUUAAUCACCGAGAAAGGUUUUGAUCCAAUCUACGGAAUAAGGUCACAUUGUUGAUUGCAGGAUCAGAAGAUGCUUUACACAUAAUUGUAUGAUGCUUAGAGACAUUUUGCACAAUGGAAACUUCUUGUGAAGCUUGAUCUUAUUCAGGUGCCUAACUUACUACCACUUACUAGGUGUUUGUGCUUACCAGUAUGCCAGCAACUUCUUAGCAAGCUCGCCAUUUCAGAGCCAUAUGAAUUUUUUGUAGAAACAUGAGCAGAGUAAAAUGGAAACAGCUUCUAGUACAUCUGAGGUAUCGAACCGGCAAUCUUUGUUGAAUGUUGAGCUUUUUCAUCUAUAACUGUGUUUUCUUUAAAGUUAACUAUAGAAGCAUUGCUUUUAUUCUCAGGUUUUGUUUUUCUUUCAUGUUUCCUAUCCAACAUAAAAUAAGUGUCACUGGUUGUAGUCAUCAUGUCUAAAGUCAACGCUGCAUUUUCUGCCACAUGUUUACUGAUUUUUCUAUUUUCAUUCCUAUGGCCUGUAUUUUUGUAGGGAGCUUCUUUUAUGCUUGGUUACCAAACUUAUUAAUUAGCAUGCCUAUUUCUCUGCAUUGUAUAGCCUUUAUUAUAUUAUAACUGCAAAGAAUGUAGUUUGAGGAUAAUCUGCCAAUUCUUCUGUAUUGGAUAUAAAAUAAUUAGGCAUUUCUAAAUUGUCUGGAAUUUCCCUGAACUGAAAAAUGGACGGAUUUACUUGCUGCCUGAACUACUAAACAUAAAAUUGAAAAACCUUUUACUGCCUUUUUGUUUGUACUUUCCAUAAUGAACUUGGUUUCUGUUCACACACAUGUACUGCUACAUUAUCCUAUACAUGUUGUCUGAAUAAUGUGAGAGCCAUUUUGUUGGUGCUUUCCAUAUUGAUGUAGCACACAUCAGCAAGUUUGAGAUGUAGCACUCUUCACUUUUGUCGCUGGUUUACAUUUGUCAAUCCUGGGAAUUGAUUAGUGUCUUCUGUUUUGACUCUAGAUUUGAAUAGUGCCCAGGUAGUGUUCAUUAGUAGGUUAAAAGUACGUUCAAGUUAUUUAUUAAAUCAUGAUGUACAAAAGGUUUAUCUAAUUGGGACUCCAAGUCUGCAACCAAAGUAGAAAUAAGGCCAUGGAGCAAGAGUUCCGUUGGGCAUCCUUUGCAUUUCUCUUGUCAUGUUCCAUGCUUCACAACAUGUGGGCAAACAUAUCAGUACACAUGCACCACUGCAGGUUGUAAUGUCAUUUAAUAAGGGAUGUAUUUGGGUACUUUAUUUCCAUUAUAAACUAAUAAUAGUUAAGAGCUUAGUAAGGUAACAAUAAUCUAGGAUAUAUAGUAGAAUAUUAGAUGUGCUUGUAUAAGUAGAAUGCAGCGUUUAGAAAUGAACUGAAAUUUGACAGUUGGAAGUGGUAGGCUUAAUUUCAUUUAGAAAAAUAGGUGUACUGCAGCAUCAUAUAUUAAGGUAAUCCCUCAGCCAAAACAAAUUGGAGGGGAAUAUUGUCAAGUUAGCGACUCAUUUUUCAUUAUGUGGGCUUUCCUUUCUUCAAAGAAAGCUCCAGCCGAAGCAAGGGCAUAUCAGCUACUAUAUCGAUAAGUUGGUUGAUUAUGUCGCCCAUGUUGUAAAUUCAACUUAGAAAUAAAGCGUUGACAAGUGUGUUCACUUCUCUCCAUGCCAAACAAAAUAUCAUCAUCUGGUUCUUUAAUCUGUUUUUAAUCCUUGUAUCAGUCUGUGACGAUGGAACCAAUUUUUCACCCAAUCUGAACUGUACGUCCAGUAGCUUCUUUGUUGUUUUACCUCUUAUUUUUUAUUCUCCAUAAAUGUACAACUUAAUAAAGUUGUUGUAUUGCUUGGGGCCAAUUUAAUUAUAUUAUGCUCAACUUUAGCUCAUGAACUACAUGGCAACACCUAAUUCUGGUUGGUCUUCUGCCACUUGUUUUAUGGCUGUAUAGGAAACAUAUGGCAUUCUUCUUUGUUGCCAAUUGUGAAUUAUUUUGUACAUGGCCUCUCAGCAGCUACCUACACUUUGCGAGGUUAUGAAAAUAUGUAGCUAGCAUGUAUGGUUUUUACAUACUUCUGCAUAGGUUGAGAUGCAUCACAUGAUCUUCUUCUCUUGACAUGGGUAUUGUAGAGUCGUUUCUUUGCCACAAAGGGCAGGAGCUGUGCCAUUCAACUCAAAAGGACAAAGAGUUCAUCACAAGUGGGUGGUCUCUAGGUUAUUUACACAAAAGAGGAAAUUACUUUUUGUAUAGAACCAAAUUACUCUAUCUAAUUGAGUAAAUUAUAUCAUGUAUUAAGUACA
This is a long non-coding RNA of Triticum aestivum (bread wheat), 3740 nucleotides long. RefSeq lists it as uncharacterized. The record is from RefSeq and is a predicted model, not a curated record. Lineage: Eukaryota; Viridiplantae; Streptophyta; Magnoliopsida; Poales; Poaceae. The transcript is spliced from 2 exons.